AUAACCAUUCAUAAGGUGGUGGUGGUGUAAUAACCAUUCAUAAGGUGGUGGUGGUGUUAUAACCAUUCAUAAGGUGGUGGUGGUGUUAUAACCAUUCAUGUGGUGGUGGUGUAAUAACCAUUCAUAACAAGGUGGUGGUGGUGUUAUAACCAUUCAUAAGGUGGUGGUGGUGUAAUAACCAUUCAUAAGGUGGUGGUGGUGUAAUAACCAUUCAUAAGGUGGUGGUGGUGUUAUAACCAUUCAUAAGGUGGUGGUGGUGUAAUAACCAUUCAUAAGGUGGUGGUGGUGUUAUAACCAUUCAUAAGGUGGUGGUGGUGUAAUAACCAUUCAUAAGGUGGUGGUGGUGUAAUAACCAUUCAUAAGGUGGUGGUGGUGUUAUAACCAGUCAUAAGGUGGUGGUGGUGUUAUAACCAGUCAUAAGGUGGUGGUGGUGUUAUAACCAGUCAUAAGGUGGUGGUGGUGUUAUAACCAUUCAUAAGGUGGUGGUGGUGUAAUAACCAUUCAUAACAAGGUGGUGGUGGUGUAAUAACCAUUCAUAAGGUGGUGGUGGUGUUAUAACCAUUCAUAAGGUGGUGGUGGUGUAAUAACCAUUCAUAAGGUGGUGGUGGUGUUAUAACCAUUCAUAACAAGGUGGUGGUGGUGUUAUAACCAUUCAUAACAAGGUGGUGGUGGUGUUAUAACCAUUCAUAAGGUGGUGGUGGUGUUAUAACCAUUCAUAAGGUGGUGGUGGUGUUAUAACCAUUCAUAACAAGGUGGUGGUGGUGUUAUAACCAUUCAUAAGGUGGUGGUGGUGUUAUAACCAUUCAUA
Oncorhynchus keta (chum salmon) is the source of this 808-nucleotide long non-coding RNA. RefSeq lists it as uncharacterized. Lineage: Eukaryota; Metazoa; Chordata; Actinopteri; Salmoniformes; Salmonidae. The record is from RefSeq and is a predicted model, not a curated record. The transcript has 5 exons.